AGGUUCAUACGAUUGCACUGCAGCAGAUGUAGAGGUGAAUGACUGGCUGCAGAAGCGAAGAGGAAGCCAAUAAAGUGCCGCCCUUGAGUUAGCACUCCCUGACCCACAAAGAGCUUGCUACUGGAAAAGAAGCUGUUAUCUUGCCUGUGCCUUACCUGUUUGGCUUUCCAGACAUGGAAAUUACUUGACUUUGCCCUGUAUUGAGGGCGGGAUAUUUUGAGAGAGGAGGCUUGCUCCUUCAUCGGUUUCUUUAUUGGUGUCCUUUCAGCAUGAUGCGUGUCUGCCAAAUCAAUACAGGGCUCUGAGGGAGAUAGAUGAAGCAGACAGUGAUUAUAGGACCAUGUUUUAUGUGUUUGCUGCAUUAUUAACCAAGAGAUUUCAUUUCGAAUGCUCCUCUCCUCCUGAAAGGCCUGAGAGCUUAAUUACAGAAGAACAGCCUUGACCAUUGGCUUUUAAUGCAGCCUUGCCUCAGACUACAAAAUUAAAGGCAAUUUUAGUUCACCUCUGUCUUACAUCAACUGUAUAAAACAUUUUGAUUUAAAUUCUGGCCCUGUGCACAAUAAGAGAUGUAACUGAUGCAAACCUGAUGUAAAAAUCCUUCUUCAUGAAAUAAGGAUAAUUUCAGCACUGAGCUUCCCAGAGGUUGCUAAGUUGCUGUGUUAAGGUGAACAUCAGAAGCACUUAAGUUUUUUUUUUUUUUUUUUUUUUAACAUACGUGUCAUAUUAAAUACCCAAUGAAAUCAAGAUUGCAGCUUUGUAGCAUUUAGUUCAUACUGUAUCUGCAAAUUUUUGAAGACGUGUAUUUGCUAAUGCAGGGGUUUUCAGACUUCUUGUGCCACAAGAGAGUUCAGGGCGGUCUGUGCAAAAUUUGAGAGAGAGAGAAAA
Ctenopharyngodon idella (grass carp) is the source of this 885-nucleotide long non-coding RNA. RefSeq lists it as uncharacterized. The transcript has 2 exons. Lineage: Eukaryota; Metazoa; Chordata; Actinopteri; Cypriniformes; Xenocyprididae. The record is from RefSeq and is a predicted model, not a curated record.